CGGGCCCUAAUAACAUGCAAGUCCGACGAACUCUGGUAUUGAUUGGUGCUUGCAUCAUGAUUUACAUUUGAGUGAGUGGCGAACUGGUGAGUAACACGUGGGAAACCUGCCCAGAAGCGGGGGAUAACACCUGGAAACAGAUGCUAAUACCGCAUAACAACUUGGACCGCAUGGUCCGAGUUUGAAAGAUGGCUUCGGCUAUCACUUUUGGAUGGUCCCGCGGCGUAUUAGCUAGAUGGUGGGGUAACGGCUCACCAUGGCAAUGAUACGUAGCCGACCUGAGAGGGUAAUCGGCCACAUUGGGACUGAGACACGGCCCAAACUCCUACGGGAGGCAGCAGUAGGGAAUCUUCCACAAUGGACGAAAGUCUGAUGGAGCAACGCCGCGUGAGUGAAGAAGGGUUUCGGCUCGUAAAACUCUGUUGUUAAAGAAGAACAUAUCUGAGAGUAACUGUUCAGGUAUUGACGGUAUUUAACCAGAAAGCCACGGCUAACUACGUGCCAGCAGCCGCGGUAAUACGUAGGUGGCAAGCGUUGUCCGGAUUUAUUGGGCGUAAAGCGAGCGCAGGCGGUUUUUUAAGUCUGAUGUGAAAGCCUUCGGCUCAACCGAAGAAGUGCAUCGGAAACUGGGAAACUUGAGUGCAGAAGAGGACAGUGGAACUCCAUGUGUAGCGGUGAAAUGCGUAGAUAUAUGGAAGAACACCAGUGGCGAAGGCGGCUGUCUGGUCUGUAACUGACGCUGAGGCUCGAAAGUAUGGGUAGCAAACAGGAUUAGAUACCCUGGUAGUCCAUACCGUAAACGAUGAAUGCUAAGUGUUGGAGGGUUUCCGCCCUUCAGUGCUGCAGCUAACGCAUUAAGCAUUCCGCCUGGGGAGUACGGCCGCAAGGCUGAAACUCAAAGGAAUUGACGGGGGCCCGCACAAGCGGUGGAGCAUGUGGUUUAAUUCGAAGCUACGCGAAGAACCUUACCAGGUCUUGACAUACUAUGCAAAUCUAAGAGAUUAGACGUUCCCUUCGGGGACAUGGAUACAGGUGGUGCAUGGUUGUCGUCAGCUCGUGUCGUGAGAUGUUGGGUUAAGUCCCGCAACGAGCGCAACCCUUAUUAUCAGUUGCCAGCAUUAAGUUGGGCACUCUGGUGAGACUGCCGGUGACAAACCGGAGGAAGGUGGGGAUGACGUCAAAUCAUCAUGCCCCUUAUGACCUGGGCUACACACGUGCUACAAUGGAUGGUACAACGAGUUGCGAACUCGCGAGAGUAAGCUAAUCUCUUAAAGCCAUUCUCAGUUCGGAUUGUAGGCUGCAACUCGCCUACAUGAAGUCGGAAUCGCUAGUAAUCGCGGAUCAGCAUGCCGCGGUGAAUACGUUCCCGGGCCUUGUACACACCGCCCGUCACACCAUGAGAGUUUGUAACACCCAAAGUCGGUGGGGUAACCUUUUAGGAACCAGCCGCCUAAGGUGACAAAGAUGG
This 1468-nucleotide ribosomal RNA is filed under the name Lactiplantibacillus plantarum. RNAcentral's name for it is "bacterial SSU rRNA". It matches the Rfam family "Bacterial small subunit ribosomal RNA". The record is from RNAcentral. Lineage: Bacteria; Bacillati; Bacillota; Bacilli; Lactobacillales; Lactobacillaceae.